This 324-nucleotide ribosomal RNA is filed under the name uncultured eukaryote. Its description in RNAcentral is "partial 18S ribosomal RNA". It matches the Rfam family "Eukaryotic small subunit ribosomal RNA", at positions 1470 to 1796 of the family's 1831-position model. The record is from RNAcentral.
CCCUUAGAUGCUCUGGGCCGCACGCGCGCUACACUGGUCGAUGCAACGAGUUUCUUUCCUUGGCCGACAGGCCUGGGCAAUCUUUGAACAUCGAUCGUGAUCGGGAUAGAUUCUUGUAAUUUUUGAUCUUAAACGAGGAAUUCCUAGUAAACGCAAGUCAUCAGCUUGCAUUGAUUACGUCCCUGCCCUUUGUACACACCGCCCGUCGCACCUACCGAUUGAAUGGUCCGGUGAAAUCUCCGGACUGGCGUGAGUCGGAGCAAUCCGACAAACACCGGAAAGUUGAUUAAACCUUACCAUUUAGAGGAAGGUGAAGUCGUAACA